RNAcentral lists this ribosomal RNA (479 nucleotides) under uncultured bacterium. RNAcentral's name for it is "bacterial SSU rRNA". It matches the Rfam family "Bacterial small subunit ribosomal RNA", at positions 28 to 507 of the family's 1533-position model. The record is from RNAcentral.
GACGAACGCUGGCGGCGUGCUUAACACAUGCAAGUGGAGCGACGAACCGGGGCUUGCCCCGGGGCAGAGCCGCGAACGGGUGAGUAACACGUGGGUCACCUGCCUCGAUGACCGGGACAACCCGAGGAAACUCGGGCUAAUACCGGAUGUGCUCUUCGGAGGAAAGGUAGCUUCGGCUUCCGCAUCGAGAUGGGCCCGCGGAGCAUUAGCUUGUUGGUGGGGUAACGGCCUACCAAGGCGACGAUGCUUAGCUGGUCUGAGAGGACGAUCAGCCACACUGGGACUGAGACACGGCCCAGACUCCUACGGGAGGCAGCAGUGGGGAAUCUUGCGCAAUGCGCGAAAGCGUGACGCAGCAACGCCGCGUGGGGGAAGAAGGCCUUCGGGUUGUAAACCUCUUUCAGUUGGGACGAAGCUUCGGCGGUGAACAGCCGCCCGGAGUGACGGUACCUUCACAAGAAGCCCCGGCUAACUACGUG